GGUCCCGUAGUUCAAUGGAUAGAAUAGGAGUUUCCUAAACUCUAGAUGUGAGUUCGAUUCUCGCCGGGACCA
RNAcentral lists this transfer RNA (72 nucleotides) under Chitinophagaceae bacterium. Its description in RNAcentral is "tRNA-Arg". It matches the Rfam family "tRNA". From Rfam's summary of the family: Transfer RNA (tRNA) molecules are approximately 80 nucleotides in length. Their secondary structure includes four short double-helical elements and three loops (D, anti-codon, and T loops). The record is from RNAcentral. Lineage: Bacteria; Pseudomonadati; Bacteroidota; Chitinophagia; Chitinophagales; Chitinophagaceae.